RNAcentral lists this ribosomal RNA (301 nucleotides) under uncultured bacterium. RNAcentral describes it as "partial 16S ribosomal RNA". It matches the Rfam family "Bacterial small subunit ribosomal RNA", at positions 509 to 807 of the family's 1533-position model. The record is from RNAcentral.
CAGUCGCCACGGUAAUACGAAGGGGGCUAGCGUUGCUCGGAAUGACUGGGCGUAAAGGGCGCGUAGGCGGCGGCCAAAGUCAGGCGUGAAAUUCCCGGGCUCAACCUGGGGGCUGCGUUUGAUACUUGGUUGCUUGAGUGGGGAAGAGGGUCGUGGAAUUCCCAGUGUAGAGGUGAAAUUCGUAGAUAUUGGGAAGAACACCGGUGGCGAAGGCGGCGACCUGGUCCUUUACUGACGCUGAUGCGCGAAAGCGUGGGGAGCAAACAGGAUUAGAUACCCCCGUAGUCCCUGUCUCUUAUAC